UACGUAGGGUGCAAGCGUUAAUCGGAAUUACUGGGCGUAAAGCGUGCGCAGGCGGUUGUGCAAGACCGAUGUGAAAUCCCCGGGCUUAACCUGGGAACUGCAUUGGUGACUGCACGGCUAGAGUGUGUCAGAGGGGGGUAGAAUUCCACGUGUAGCAGUGAAAUGCGUAGAUAUGUGGAGGAACACCGAUGGCGAAGGCAGCCCCCUGGGUUAACACUGACGCUCAGGCACGAAAGCGUGGGGAGCAAACAGG
This 253-nucleotide ribosomal RNA is filed under the name uncultured bacterium. RNAcentral's name for it is "partial 16S ribosomal RNA". It matches the Rfam family "Bacterial small subunit ribosomal RNA", at positions 524 to 776 of the family's 1533-position model. The record is from RNAcentral.